This 629-nucleotide ribosomal RNA is filed under the name Mesophysa ilzei. Its description in RNAcentral is "partial 28S ribosomal RNA". It matches the Rfam family "Eukaryotic large subunit ribosomal RNA", at positions 2425 to 2850 of the family's 3401-position model. Lineage: Eukaryota; Metazoa; Arthropoda; Insecta; Diptera; Acroceridae. The record is from RNAcentral.
ACUCUAGUCUGGCAGUGUAAGGAGACAUAAGAGGUGUAGCAUAAGUGGGAGAUAUUAAACUUUUUUUUAUAAAAGUUAUUUAUCAAAAAUGAAAUACCACUACUCUUAUUGUUUCCUUACUUACUUGAUUGAGUGGAACGUGUAUCAUUUACUUAGCCAUUAUAUGGAUAUAAAUUUAUAUUUUUAUAUAUUUUUUAUAUUUUAUGGUAUUUUGUUUUGUUACAAGUUUCUUGAUAAAAAUACAAAGAGUUUGUUAUAUACACCAAACAAAUCUUCAAUGAGUUAUUAUAUAUUAAAUUUUUUUAUAAAGAUUUUUUUAUAUAAAUAAUGUAAUUGGAUUUGGUACGACUCUUAUAACUCUAGUAUAAUCCAUUUCAAGGACAUUGCUAGGUGGAGAGUUUGACUGGGGCGGUACAUCUCUCAAAUAAUAACGGAGGUGUCCCAAGGCCAGCUCAGAGCGGACAGAAACCACUCAUAGAGCAAAAGGGCACAUGCUGGCUUGAUCUCGGUAUUCAGUACAUACAGAGACAGCAAAAGCUAGGCCUAUCGAUCCUUUUGGUUUAACGAGUUUUUAGCAAGAGGUGUCAGAAAAGUUACCACAGGGAUAACUGGCUUGUGGCAGCCAAGCG